Molecule: long non-coding RNA, 776 nt
Organism: Hemicordylus capensis (graceful crag lizard)
Lineage: Eukaryota; Metazoa; Chordata; Lepidosauria; Squamata; Cordylidae
Exons: 3
Source: RefSeq, a predicted model, not a curated record
UUCCUGCCUGCAACCUUGGAGAAGCCGCUGCCAGUCUGUGUAGAGACAAUACUGUGUAGAGACAAUACUGAGCGAGAUGGACCAAUGGUCUGACUCAGUAUAUGGCAGCUUCCUAUGUUCCUAAGCCAGUGUGUGAUUUCCAUCCUGUGAAGGCUCAGAAGCCAGAGAAGCAGGUUCCUGGCCUCUCUUCCCUUGCACAGCUUUCCUAUUGCUACUGGAGCCCAGCCCAGGGGCAUAAUGAGGGGAUGGCCCAUGGGGCAGGCUCCUGAUGAAUGGCUGAGAGCCCUGAAUCUCAUUCGUGAGCUCCCUGGUCUAGGACCUCUUCUUCCUGCAAGGAAGGGCAACCACGGAGGCGCCUGCACAGGACAUGAUGAGAGAAAGCUCCCGUCCUCUCCUGGCUCUGCUGAUUCCACCUUCAGAGAUUGCGGAGCUGGAUGUGGAGGGAAGAAGGCUUCAAGCAGGAUUUGUCAGGCCAAAAAUCCAAGCUCUCUGGUAAGGCACCUUGAUCUGGUGAGUCUGACAAGAUGUGGCAGAAGAGGCCCUUUCCUACGCAUGCAGGUUCCCUGAAUUGAAGGGAAGCAUCAAGAUGGAAUUGCUUACCUGUGGUCCAGAUGAUUUGGCAUUGUGGUCAGGAACAGUGAAGGCUGAGUGGAGAAUCUUGCUCUCUGUUCUGUUUAGUUAACUGCUUCAUGUAACACAGAAGUUUGCACCUACCUUUGCUUGAAAAAAGAGCUCUCACUCUGUAAUUCAUAAGGCUGAAGAUUAAAGCCGCCCCC